Molecule: ribosomal RNA, 630 nt
Filed under: uncultured bacterium
Lineage: Bacteria
Description: bacterial SSU rRNA
Rfam family: Bacterial small subunit ribosomal RNA (bases 1-541)
Source: RNAcentral
CCUACGGGAGGCAGCAGUGGGGAAUUUUGGACAAUGGGCGCAAGCCUGAUCCAGCAAUGCCGCGUGAGUGAAGAAGGCCUUCGGGUUGUAAAGCUCUUUUGUCAGGGAAGAAACGGUGGGGGCUAAUAUCCUUUGCUAAUGACGGUACCUGAAGAAUAAGCACCGGCUAACUACGUGCCAGCAGCCGCGGUAAUACGUAGGGUGCAAGCGUUAAUCGGAAUUACUGGGCGUAAAGCGUGCGCAGGCGGUUUUGUAAGUCUGUCGUGAAAUCCCCGGGCUCAACCUGGGAAUUGCGAUGGAGACUGCAAGGCUAGAAUCUGGCAGAGGGGGGUAGAAUUCCACGUGUAGCAGUGAAAUGCGUAGAGAUGUGGAGGAACACCGAUGGCGAAGGCAGCCCCCUGGGUCAAGAUUGACGCUCAUGCACGAAAGCGUGGGGAGCAAACAGGAUUAGAUACCCUGGUAGUCCACGCCCUAAACGAUGUCUACUAGUUGUACGGUUUUAAUUAACGUUGGUAACGCAGCUACGCGUGAGUAGACCGCCGUCGGUAGGUACGGUACGCGAGAAGUAAACGUAACGAAGUAAGUAGUAGUACGCGNGACGAGCGACGACGACGACGACGGAGGAGGAGG